RNAcentral lists this ribosomal RNA (410 nucleotides) under uncultured bacterium. RNAcentral describes it as "bacterial SSU rRNA". It matches the Rfam family "Bacterial small subunit ribosomal RNA", at positions 370 to 772 of the family's 1533-position model. The record is from RNAcentral.
AAUGGGCGCAAGCCUGAUCCAGCCAUGCCGCGUGCGGGAAGAAGGCCUUCGGGUUGUAAACCGCUUUCGGACAGAAAGAAAUCGCAUGGACUAAUACUCUGUGUGGAUGACGGUACUGUAAGAAGAAGCACCGGCUAACUACGUGCCAGCAGCCGCGGUAAUACGUAGGGUGCGAGCGUUAAUCGGAAUUACUGGGCGUAAAGCGUGCGCAGGCGGAUAUUUAAGUCAGACGUGAAAUCCCCGGGCUUAACCUGGGAAUGGCGUUUGAAACUGGAUGUCUAGAGUGUGGCAGAGGGGGGUGGAAUUCCACGUGUAGCAGUGAAAUGCGUAGAGAUGUGGAGGAACACCGAUGGCGAAGGCAGCCCCCUGGGCUAACACUGACGCUCAUGCACGAAAGCGUGGGGAGCAAA